AAAACUUUGUGGGUAAGAAUGUCAUACCUAGAAGAUGAUUGUGUUGCCUGACAGCCAUGGGGAAGAUGGCAAGUAGAGUCAGCUUUCUUGGGGGUGUGAGUCAGUUUGGGCUGCUGUAACAAAAAUAUCAUAGACUGGGUGGCUUAUAAACAACAGAAAUUUAUUUCUCACAGGCCUGGCGGCUGGAAGUAGCAGAUCAGGGUGCUAGUAUGGUCAUGUUCUGGUGAAGGCCCUUUUCUGUGUUGGUAGCUAAAAAGAGGGCUAAGAGCUCUCAGGACUCUCCUUUUUAUAAGGGCACCCCAGAGAGUGAGGUGCUACACCUUUGUUACCUAAUUAUCUCCCAAAGGCUCCAUUUCCUAAUGCCAUCACAUUGGGGAUUAGGAAGAACCUCAACAUUAAAUUCGAGAGGGCACAGUCAGUCUCUAACAUGGGGAUAGGGCCUGAGUUCAGUUUCUUGCUAUUCAUAUAUUAGAAUAUAUUAGUAGUAAAGGUGUUAGAGUCUAGACUGACAAAAUCAAGACAAAAUAAAGAGCCAUUAAAUCUUUUAAGAUUUAAUCUAUAAUUAAGCUGUAUUCAGAAAUGUGCUGGUUCCCAAAGAUUAAGUUUUCCUAUACUUUUCUAGGUACUAAAAGAAAAUAUAAAGGGAGGAAGGGAGAAAGAGAAAAAGUAAGGGAGGGAGGGACUCUUUGAGAAAAACUAUUGAUUAGUAUUGAGGAGAUCUAUAAAGUCUCUGCAUGGGACUGGUUGUAUUUUCAAAGUUGUCCACAGCAAUUUCUCUUACCCUUCAAGCUCUUCUGCAAAGAGGUGGAGUCUCCCUCCCUUCCCUCUUGAAUGGGGCCUAUCAUGAGAGCCAAACACUAUCUUCUGCUGGAAAAGAGAAAAGGAUAGAAUAUUUCUGUGGUGAGAAAGAAGGUUAUUUGAUACUAAACCCAGACCACACCCACUAGAGCUGGAGUUCAGCUUACAGAAAUGGAUCUAAGAUCAAGUCAAAUCCGUAAAGACACUGGUGAGUCAGCGGGAACCACAGUGAGCUAAAGGUAGCACUGGGUGGGAGGCCAAAGGAGCGGGCUGACCGAGGCUGGAGAUUUGAUGGGAGUGGAGCCUUCAUGAGGAAGGCUGGUAUCCCACAAGGUUGCAUCAUCAGUGGCUUGAGACCUUUGAACCUGAGCUAGGGGUGGGUGUGUGCAGGGGCCUGGAGAGACUGCAGAGAUCUGAGUGAGACCAGCUUUGCGGGGUUACUGGCAGUGCACAUUCUGGCUUUGUGUUCCUGAGAUCUGUUUCUUGCCCUUCCUCUACCCUGUUCUAAAUCAAAGGGGCCUGACCCUUGUAGGUUGCUUUUCUAAGAUCAGAGGAUGAUAGGAAGCACUGGAUGGUGGAGGUAGAGAGGGAGAAACGAGGCCUUCUCCCCUCCUUCCCAGCUGCGUACCUCUCCCACUCCAUUUGUUGCCAGACAGGUCCACUAUGGUUCCAGCCUCCACUCAGUGACGCAGAGACUCCAUUAGGCACCCUGAGCUCCGGGAACUCCGUCCUCCCUUUCCUCUGCCCUGCAGUGGUGUCAGCUUCCUGUCUUUGCAGUCUGGAUUCCUCACCCCGCCCUGGCUGGCCUCUCAGCUCUUCCAUCCCUUGUGUAAUUGAUCCCUGCAUCAAAGUCCUGUUUGGAAUUCUCUGGUGGUUUCUGUUUCCUGGUUAGAUCCCGACUGAUACACUGGCCUCGGUAGCUGGUCAGCUCUGAUUCCUGGAAGAGAGCUGCUGAGAACCGGCCUGGGGAGGCCUUGCUGAAAGAGGUUUGUAGGGAAACAAGCUGACUUCAGGACAGCUCAGUGUGUGGCUUACUUGACCCCAUUCUCUCCAGAACUACAUAAGCUGUUAUCUUAAGGGAGGAACUUUAAUGGAGGAAUUGAUUUGGGAUGGGGUGAAGGAUUCACUAAAACAGAGGCAUCAAUGACACCAGAGAGCAGAGAAAGCUCAUGUCCACUCAGUUUAGAAAUAACCAAGUGUUCUGGUGGGGGCUCAUGCGUCACUGAAUUACUGUGGCAUUCUUGGGCUCCAUAUCAUGUUUGUAUCUUGUGUCUGGUUCAAAUAGAACAGAGAAUAAUGGAGUGAAUGCCUCUAAUUUAAUAUUCUUAUAUUUCCGUCACAUCAAAUUCCCACUAGGACAAAUGUAUACAAAUGAAUCAUUAUGAUUUUUUUCCCUUUUACCCUAGCUGAGCCACUUGGGCUUCUGCUAAGAAAUGAUGAUAAAAGUGAUGAAAACAAAGCAUAACAUUAUAAUGUCAUUUUAAAAAAUAAAAGAUUUCCAGGAGAUCCUUUGUUGUGCAGGAAGAGCACGAGCUGCAUGUUUAAAUGACUUUUUGUUUUCCCUUUUGGAUAAUCACAGAGAGUAAUGUAACCAAAAUAAUCUUGGACUGCUGCUGAGGUCAUCAUUUAGUUCCUGCUGACAUGUUGUGCUGGUCAGAGAGCACAGCAUCUCAAAGGGAGUACAGCCCUGGAGACAUGAGAGAAGGCGUCAUUCAGACUGCUGGUGCUUCCCUCGGAGACAACAGGAGCAUUGGAGCCCUAAGCUGCCAUGUAAGGCAUCUGACUACCUUGAAGCCACUACAUUGGAAAGGUCAAGUGGAGGAGCUCCAGCUGACAGUCUCCAUGGAGCCCAGCUUCGAGCCAUCCCUGCAAGGCAUCUUCGGAGGUCUUGGAACACAUCCCCCAAGGAUAAAGGGGACUACUGUAUUCUCAGCUCAGGUCACAAAGUGGAUGGUUAGGUGCACUGCUCACUGCUCACUGCUCUACCCAUUGAGAAGUUUCCAUUCUCUACUGUCUUUCAAGGCAACCCCCUGAAUAUGGCCGUAAUAUGGACUGCAUUUGU
Molecule: long non-coding RNA, 2860 nt
Organism: Chlorocebus sabaeus (green monkey)
Lineage: Eukaryota; Metazoa; Chordata; Mammalia; Primates; Cercopithecidae
Source: RefSeq, a predicted model, not a curated record